RNAcentral lists this ribosomal RNA (497 nucleotides) under uncultured bacterium. Its description in RNAcentral is "partial 16S ribosomal RNA". It matches the Rfam family "Bacterial small subunit ribosomal RNA", at positions 28 to 507 of the family's 1533-position model. The record is from RNAcentral.
GAUGAACGCUGGCGGCGUGCCUAAUACAUGCAAGUCGAGCGAACAGACGAGGAGCUUGCUCCUCUGACGUUAGCGGCGGACGGGUGAGUAACACGUGGAUAACCUACCUAUAAGACUGGGAUAACUUCGGGAAACCGGAGCUAAUACCGGAUAAUAUAUUGAACCGCAUGGUUCAAUAGUUAAAGAAGGUUUUGCUGUCACUUAUAGAUGGAUCCGCGCCGCAUUAGCUAGUUGGUAAGGUAACUGCUUACCAAGGCAACGAUGCGUAGCCGACCUGAGAGGGUGAUCGGCCACACGGGAACUGAGACACGGUCCAGACUCCUACGGGAGGCAGCAGUAGGGAAUCUUCCGCAAUGGGCGAAAGCUUGACGGAGCAACGCCGCGUGAGUGAUGAAGGUCUUCGGAUCGUAAAACUCUGUUAUUAGGGAAGAACAAAUGUGUAAGUAACUAUGCACGUCUUGACGGUACCUAAUCAGAAAGCCACGGCUAACUACGUG